Molecule: long non-coding RNA, 1025 nt
Organism: Cervus elaphus (red deer)
Lineage: Eukaryota; Metazoa; Chordata; Mammalia; Artiodactyla; Cervidae
Exons: 5
Source: RefSeq, a predicted model, not a curated record
GUGGACCAGCCAGAUGAACUUGAGUGUGACCCAGGAAACAGGGAACAGAAGUGAAAGCAGGCAGAGGUAAAAUGAAGGGCUGGAGAAACAAGCUGGUAAAAAACACACACACAACAUGGAGUGAAAACUGCUCCGUCGUGUCCGACUUUUGGGGACCCCAAGGACACAGUCCAUGGAAUUCACCAGGCCAGAAUACUGGAGUGGGUAGCCUUUCCAGUCUCCAGGGGAUCUUCCCAACCCAGGGAUCGAACCCUGGUCUCCCACAUUGCAGGCGGAUUCUUUACCAGCUGAGCCACAAGGGAAGCCCCAGCACAUGGAGAGACUGGAUUAAAACGAACGUGGGAAACAGGUGACAGUAGGAAACAUGGAUUUGGUUAGAAGGGCUCAGAUAUACGUGACAGCAGUCACAGCUCAGCUGGACAAGGGUUUAUCAUGUUUGGCACCAUGACCCUGAAGCUCCUAUUUGCAAGGGGAAAAUCCUUUCUUGAAGAUUUCCUAUCAUCAGGUGUGCACGCAAGAGAAGAGGAAGUCACGGGGAGCAUUUCCGUCAUCUUGCAAAUCAUUGUCUGCCUUCCAGGAAUUUCAUCUCCAGGAGAGCAAAAAUCCACAGGUGAACUCUGAUGAUGCCCUGGUCUGGAACCAUUCUACAGAGAAUGAAAGGCCCAGGCAGCAGUUUGUAACUGAACAGCUGACAUCUUUUUUCCUUCCACUAGAGAAGGCAAAGGAGAUGUAAAUUUUCUUUUUCAGGAGGUGGGGGCUGCUCAGCUUGUAGGGUCUUAGUUCCCUGACCAGGGAUUGAACCUGUGCCCCUUUCAAUGGAAGUCUUAACCACUGGACCACCAGGGAAGUCCCUCCCAUCAGUUUUCCGUCACCUUGAUUUCCAGUCCUUUACUGAUAUGCUGGAGACAUAUUUGCCUGGAGACCUGAGUAUAUGUGCACAGGGGGCUGGGUAAAAGACUUUCACAGCAACACUGUUCAUCACAACAACAACAAAUCAGAACAACACAAAUGUGCAUCAGCAGGAA